RNAcentral lists this long non-coding RNA (890 nucleotides) under Homo sapiens (human). Its description in RNAcentral is "non-protein coding lnc-TCEAL8-2:1". The record is from RNAcentral. Lineage: Eukaryota; Metazoa; Chordata; Mammalia; Primates; Hominidae.
UCUGGAGCCCUUGGUGUCCUGUAAAUGAAGGAGGAGGUCCUCAAAUUCCUUUCAGUAGGAACCUAUGGUGGCAACAACCUUGACUCCAAAUAGAGCAGUAUGCCUACAAAAGGAAAAGUGAUGGCAUCGGCAUCAUACAUCUAAUCAGUAUGCCAUCACUUUUCCUUGAGAAGGACCUGGGAGAAGCUUCUGGUGGCAGUUCAUGCCAUUGUUGCCAGUGAAAACCCUGCUGAUGUCAGUGUCAUAUCCUCUAGGAAUACUGGCCAGCAGGCUAUGCUGAAGUUUGCUGCUGCCAGUGUAGCCACUCCUAUUUCUGGCCACUUCACUCCUGGAAACUUCACUAACCAGAUCCAAGCAGCCUUCCAGGAACCAUGUCUUCUGGUGGUUAUCAAUCCCAAGGCUGACCACCAGGCUCUGACGGAGGCAUCUUACAUAAAUCUGCCCACAAUUGCUCUGUGUAACAGAUUCUUCUCUGUGCUAUGUUUACAUUGACAUGCAAUGCAACAACAAGAGCUCUCACUUGGUGGGUCUGAUAUGGUGGAGGCUGACUCAGGAAGUUCUGUGCAUGCAUGGCACCAUCUUCUGUGAAAUCCCAAGGAAGGUCAUGCUGAUCUCUAUUUCUACAGAGAUCCUGAAAUGAUUGAAAAGGAAGAGCACAAGCUGCUGCUGAAAAAGCUGUGAUCAAGGAGAAAUUAAUGGACUGCUUCCGUUCUGAGUUCAGUGCCACUCAACCUGAGGUUGCAGACCAGUUUGAAGGCAUACAGGUGCCCUCUGUGCCUAUUCAGAAAUUCCCCACUGAAGACUGGCCCACAGCCUGCCUCUGAAGACUGCUUUGCAACUCCCGCUGUUCAGGCCACUGAAUGGGUAAGAACAACCACUACGUGGUCUUA